UUUUAUUGAUAAAAAAAAUCUCAAUGAUUAAGGUUUAUGUAUAAUAACAAACAUUACUAAAGCCAAAACAGUAUCAUUUGUAUUUAGGUAGAGUUUAGAAAUAUAAAAAAUGUCAAAAUUGAAACCCUCUCAAAUUUUCCCAGAUUUUUACAUAUGACCUUUGACCUCAAUUUUAAAAAAAUGUGACCAUAUCAAGUCUUGACGACAGGCAUAUUAUUAUAGUACACGAUUUCCUCUUUCCAAUGAUAUAUUAUAUAGGUGUGUGUUCGGUGGGGAGAUUAAAUUUAAAAAAAUCGGCCUUCAGUCACCGCACUAU
This 316-nucleotide long non-coding RNA is filed under the name Mytilus galloprovincialis (Mediterranean mussel). The record is from RNAcentral. Lineage: Eukaryota; Metazoa; Mollusca; Bivalvia; Mytilida; Mytilidae.